This 433-nucleotide ribosomal RNA is filed under the name uncultured bacterium. RNAcentral describes it as "partial 16S ribosomal RNA". It matches the Rfam family "Bacterial small subunit ribosomal RNA", at positions 29 to 507 of the family's 1533-position model. The record is from RNAcentral.
AGCGAACGCUGGCGGCAGGCCUAACACAUGCAAGUCGAACGAACUCUUCGGAGUUAGUGGCGGACGGGUGAGUAACACGUGGGAACGUGCCUUUAGGUUCGGAAUAACUCAGGGAAACUUGUGCUAAUACCGAAUGUGCCCUUCGGGGGAAAGAUUUAUCGCCUUUAGAGCGGCCCGCGUCUGAUUAGCUAGUUGGUGAGGUAAAGGCUCACCAAGGCGACGAUCAGUAGCUGGUCUGAGAGGAUGAUCAGCCACAUUGGGACUGAGACACGGUCCAAACUCCUACGGGAGGCAGCAGUGGGGAAUCUUGCGCAAUGGGCGAAAGCCUGACGCAGCCAUGCCGCGUGAAUGAUGAAGGUCUUAGGAUUGUAAAAUUCUUUCACCGGGGACGAUAAUGACGGUACCCGGAGAAGAAGCCCCGGCUAACUUCGUG